This 253-nucleotide ribosomal RNA is filed under the name uncultured bacterium. RNAcentral's name for it is "partial 16S ribosomal RNA". It matches the Rfam family "Bacterial small subunit ribosomal RNA", at positions 524 to 776 of the family's 1533-position model. The record is from RNAcentral.
UACGUAGGGGGCAAGCGUUGUCCGGAAUCAUUGGGCGUAAAGCGCGUGUAGGCGGACCGGUAGGUCUGGUGUGAAAGCCCGGGGCUCAACCCCGGAGGGUCACUGGAAACCAUCGGUCUUGAAUCUGGAAGAGGAAAGUGGAAUUCCUGGUGUAGCGGUGAAAUGCGCAGAUAUCAGGAGGAACAUCAAUGGCGAAGGCAGCUUUCUGGUACAUGAUUGACGCUGAGACGCGAAAGCGUGGGGAGCAAACAGG